This 848-nucleotide unclassified non-coding RNA is filed under the name Hevea brasiliensis (rubber tree). Lineage: Eukaryota; Viridiplantae; Streptophyta; Magnoliopsida; Malpighiales; Euphorbiaceae. The record is from RNAcentral.
GGGGGCUUGAAGAAGAGCCUGAGGGAGGGAAACAGAACAUGCUGAAUUGACCAUUCACGUUGAGCCCAGGCAUUUUCAGCCUCCAAACGUAGUUCUUCGUCAAAUUCAGCCUCCGUGGUAUCAUUCUCUAUGUUAUCUAUUGAAGUUACUUCUGAACCACUUGAAAGUACUCUCUUUCUGUAGAAUUUCAAGCCAUCACCUGAGGGAUUAGGCAAUAAUGGCGGAUGCAUGGCAUAAAAAUUUCCUAGGACAGCAGCAAUUGUCUGAAAACAAAUUUUCUCGUCCUCCCAGUCAACAUCAUUUCCUAAACAAAGUAUAAAUUCUGGGAUGCGGUCCAUGUCAGGUGUGUACUGAUCCAGUAUAACAGGAAGACUAGACAUAUUUCCAUUUGAAUCGAUAUGAAUACUAAAAUACUCCUCUAGCAUUCCAGCCUUUUGCUUGAGCAGUUCUGUAUUCAUCUCGGCAAUCUUUCCUCUUAGCUCUUUGCUUUCAUUGCCUUCUGGAUCUGUACCCUCUUCUUUCAGAGCAAGCAUUACUAACUCAGGUAAUGAUGCUGGUUCACUCAGUUGAAUUGCAUUGAAAUGGGCAAACCGACGUAAAACUUGCUGAUACAUAAGCUCUUUACUCAAGUUAAUCACAUUAACAAGAUAAAGGUGUGUAUUGUGUUGAAGCAAAGCAAAAAUCUCAUCCGCCAUCCCAGUAUAUGUGCAAUUCCUAACAAUAUCCAAUAGACCAGGGUGACAGUCAUUAUCAAUCUCAUUAACGAGCUCUUGGAUGCUAGUGAGGUCUGCGGUGUCACUAGGAUUCCUCCUUUGUCUGAUAGAAGACCUCACAGAGCUAAAGCAAGG